RNAcentral lists this ribosomal RNA (405 nucleotides) under Triticum aestivum (bread wheat). Its description in RNAcentral is "partial small subunit ribosomal RNA". The record is from RNAcentral. Lineage: Eukaryota; Viridiplantae; Streptophyta; Magnoliopsida; Poales; Poaceae.
AUGAACAAGGUAGGUGGAGCGAGUAAUCAUCAACCGAUAAAGCAAGAGCUGCGGGUCCCACGCGGCGGUCUCCGGUUCGUUGUCGCCAGGACCCGACAGCGAGAGGCGAUGCGGAAAUGGAAUGGAAUGGGAGCAAACGCCCUUGGCAAGACCCAGCCUUUGCUCGUCAUCCUCUCUUCAUUGCUUACUCGUCCUCUCAUCAAAGCUGCAGCCUGCAGGAGUAAGCAAGGAAGGGCUAGGGAGAGCAGCGAGGAAAGGAUGGGCAUGCCGCGGGGGCUGUCGGCGUACAUGGUGGACAUGGUGUGGGCGGUGCUCGCCGGGUGGGUGUCGGCGUGCCUGCUGGUCGCCAACGAGAUCGCCCGCGGCAUGCGGGCCGGGGAGAUUGGCCCCUUCGUCGUCGGCUGA